UACAGAGGGUGCAAGCGUUGUCCGGAAUCAUUGGGCGUAAAGAGCGUGUGGGCGGCCCUUUAAGUCCUGCGUGAAAUCCUGCGGCUCAACCGCAGACGGUCGUGGGAAACUGGAGGGCUAGAGUGCGGGAGAGGAGAGUGGAAUUCCCGGUGUAGCGGUGAAAUGCGCAGAUAUCAGGAGGAACACCGAUGGCGAAGGCAGGUCUCUGGGCCACUACUGACGCUGAGAAGCGAAAGCGUGGGGAGCGAACAGG
Molecule: ribosomal RNA, 253 nt
Filed under: uncultured prokaryote
Description: partial 16S ribosomal RNA
Rfam family: Bacterial small subunit ribosomal RNA
Source: RNAcentral